UACGUAGGGCGCAAGCGUUGUCCGGAAUUAUUGGGCGUAAAGAGCUCGUAGGCGGUCUGUCGCGUCUGCCGUGAAAACCCGAGGCUUAACCUUGUGGCUUGCGGUGGAUACGGGCAGACUAGAGGUAGGUAGGGGAGAAUGGAAUUCCUGGUGUAGAGGUGAAAUUCGUAGAUAUUGGGAAGAACACCGGUGGCGAAGGCGGAUCUCUGGGCCAUUACUGACGCUGAGGAGCGAAAGCGUGGGGAGCGAACAGG
Molecule: ribosomal RNA, 254 nt
Filed under: uncultured bacterium
Lineage: Bacteria
Description: partial 16S ribosomal RNA
Rfam family: Bacterial small subunit ribosomal RNA
Source: RNAcentral